Rhineura floridana is the source of this 272-nucleotide long non-coding RNA. RefSeq lists it as uncharacterized. The record is from RefSeq and is a predicted model, not a curated record. NCBI's taxonomy places the organism in Eukaryota, Metazoa, Chordata, Lepidosauria, Squamata, Rhineuridae. The transcript has 3 exons.
CAGGCGUUUAACAUCCGAUCUUAGAAAAAAUAGUUAACAUUCCUUAGUACUCUGGAAGUGGGGAUAACCAUAACCAAGGGAAGAUAUCAUGCAGCUGUUUCCGAUUAGGAAGGAUGAGCAGCUAGGGAGGCUGCAGAAAUAUGUAAUGGAAAGAAAAAGAGACAUACUAUCCUCAGACACCUCACAAUAAGACACUCUGCGGACCCCCUGAAUGAAGCUCAAGGACCACAGUUUGGGAACUCCUGUGCUAAGAGACACACACUUGGAAGGGA